This 465-nucleotide ribosomal RNA is filed under the name uncultured bacterium. RNAcentral's name for it is "partial 16S ribosomal RNA". It matches the Rfam family "Bacterial small subunit ribosomal RNA", at positions 28 to 507 of the family's 1533-position model. The record is from RNAcentral.
GACGAACGCUGGCGGUGUGCUUAACACAUGCAAGUCGAACGGUAAGGCCCUUUCGGGGGUACACGAGUGGCGAACGGGUGAGUAACACGUGAGUAACCUGCCCUCAUCUCUGGGAUAACAGUCGGAAACGGUUGCUCAUACUGGAUAUGAGCUUGCAAGGCAUCUUGUGGGUUGGAAAGAUUUUUUGGUUGGGGCUGGACUCGCGGCCUAUCAGCUUGUUGGUGAGGUAGUGGCUAACCAAGGCUUCGACGGGUAGCCGGCCUGAGAGGGCGACCGGCCACAUUGGGACUGAGAUACGGCCCAAACUCCUACGGGAGGCAGCAGUGGGGAAUAUUGCACAAUGGACGGAAGUCUGAUGCAGCAACGCCGCGUGCGGGAUGACGGCCUUCGGGUUGUAAACCGCUUUCAAUUGUGACGAAGCUUUUUGUGACGGUAGCAGUAGAAGAAGCACCGGCUAACUACGUG